GACUAAAUGGAUCGACGGCACCAUCGAAUCUCAAACUUUAACUGCCAAAACUAUUGUUUUUCAUCCUGUAGUCCCAUUUAGAAUUAUUAAACGUCCUUUUUUGGGCCGAUAUUUAGAGUAAUGCUUUCUCGGGGUUUGUCUGCAAGUAUUUCAAACCAUACGGACCUAAAAAUUAGAAGUCAUUCCAUCUUUAUUCCCCUAGAGCCUUCCAGCAGUUCCUAAACCGCUCUAGUCGGAGCACGUUAUCAUUCUUGUUAGUUCUGAGUGAAUUCCCUCAGUAUGAUAAUUCUUUCAUCUGUUUGUUCCCCGUUUCUUCUCUAGCCUGAGCCUGACACACUAUUCAAGCUAGACAUGGAUGUGGCUCGUAACACCUGAUGACCAAACGGAUCUACGGCACCAUCGAAUCCCAAACUUUAACUGCCAAAACUAUUGUUUUUCAUCCUGUAGUCCCUUUUAGAAUUACUAAACGUCCUUUUUUGGGCCGAGAUUUCCAGGAAUGCUUUCUCGGGGUUUGUGUGCAAGUAUUUCAAACCAUACAAAGCUAGAAAUUAGAAGUCAUUCCAUCUUUAUUAUCGUAGAGCCUUCCAGCAGUUCCUAAACCGGUCUAGUCGGAGCACGUUAUCAUUCUAGUUAGUUCUGAGUGAAUUCCCUCGGUAUGAUAAUUCUUUCAUCAGUUUGUUCCCCGUUUCUUCUCUAGCCUGAGCCUGACAAACUAUUCUAGCUAGACAUGCGUGUGGCUCGUAACACCUGAUGACCAAACGGAUCUAUAGCACCAUCGAAUCUCAAACUUUAACUGCCAAAACUAUUGUUUUCAUCCUGUAGUCCCUUUUAGAAUUACUAAACUUCCUUUUUUGGGCCGAGAUUUAGAGGAACGCUUUCUGGGGUUUGUGUGCAAGUAUUUCAAACCAUACAGACCUAAAAAUUAGAAGUCAUUCCAUCUUUAUUCCCCUAGAGCCUUCCAGCAGUUCCUAAACCGCUCUAGUCGGAGCACGUUAUCAUUAUUGUUAGUUCUGAGUGAAUUCCCUCGGUAUGAUAAUUCUUUCAUCAGUUUGUUCCCUGUUUCUUCUCUAUCCUGAGCCUGACACACUAUUCUAGCUAGACAUGGGUGUGGCUCGUAACACCUGAUGACUAAAUGGAUCGACGGCACCAUCGAAUCUCAAACUUUAACUGCCAAAACUAUUGUUUUUCAUCCUGUAGUCCCAUUUAGAAUUAGUAAACGUCCUUUUUUGGGCCGAGAUUUAGAGGAACGCUUUCUCGGGGUUUGUGUGCAAGUAUUUCAAACCAUACGGACCUAAAAAUUAGAAGUCAUUCCAUCUUUAUUCCCCUAGUCAUCAGGUAUACACUCAAGUCGGAGCACGUUAUCAUUCUUGUUAGUUCUGAGUGAAUUCCCUCGGUAUGAUAAUUCUUUCAUAAAUUUGUUCCCCGUUUCUUAUAUGGCCUGAGCCUGACACACUAUUCUAGCUAGACAUGGGUGUGGCUCGUAACACCUGAUGACCAAACGGAUCUACGGCACCAUCAAAUCUCAAACUUUAACUGCCAAAACUAUUCUUUUUCAUUCUGUAGUCCCUUCUAGAAUUACUAAACGUCCUUUUUUGGGCCGAGAUUUCCAGGAACGCUUUCUCGGGGUUUGUGUGCAUGUAUUUCAAACCAUACAGACCUAAAAAUUAUAAGUCAUUCCAUCUUUAUUCCCGUAGAGCCUUCCAGUAGUUCCUAAACCGCUCCAGUCGGAGCAUGUUAUCAUUCUUGUUAGUUCUAAGUGAAUUCCCUCGGUAUGAUAAUUCUUUCAUCAGUUUGUUCCCCGUUUCUUCUCUAGCCUGAGCCUGGCACACUAGUCUAGCUAGACAUGGGUGUGGCUCGUAACACCCGAUGACUAAAUGGAUCGACGGCACCAUCGAAUCUCAAACUUUAACUGCCAAAACUAUUGUUUUUCAUCCUGUAGUCCCAUUUAGAAUUACUAAACGUCCUUUUUUGGGCCGAGAUUUAGAGGAACGCUUUCUCGUGGUUUGUGUGCAAGAAUUUCAAACCAUACGGACCUAAAAAUUAGAAGUCAUUCCAUCUUUAUUCCCCUAGAGCCUUCCAGUAGUUCCUAAACCGCUCUAGUCGGAGCACGUUAUCAUUCUUGUUAGUUCUGAGAGAAUUCCCUCGGUAUGAUAAUUCUUUUAUCAGUUUGUUCCCCGUUUCUUCUCUAGCCUGAGCCCGACACACUAUUCUAGCUAGACAUGGGUGUGGCUCGUAACACCUGAUGACCAAACGGAUCUACGGCACCAUCGAAUCUCAAACUUUAACUGCCAAAACUAUUGUUUUUCAUCCUGUAGUCCCUUUUAGAAUUACUAAAUGUCCUUUUUUGGGCCGAGAUUUCCAGGAACGCUUUCUCAGGGUUUGUGUGCAAGUAAUUCAAACCAUACGGACCUAAAAAUUAGAAGUCAUUCCAUCUUUAUUCCCCUAGAGCCUUCCAGCAGUUCCUAAACCGCUCAAGUCAGUGCACGUUAUCAUUCUUGUUAGUUCUAAGUGAAUUCCCUCGGUAUGAUAAUUUGUUCAUCAGUUUGUUCCCCGUUUCUUCUCUAGCCUGAGCCUGACACACUAUUCUAGCUAGACAUGGGUGUGGCUCGUAACACCUGAUGACCAAACGGAUCUACGACACCAUCGAAUCUCAAACUUUAACUACCAAAACUAUUGUUUUUCAUCCUCUAGUCCCUUUUAGAAUUACUAAACGUCCUUUUUUGGGCCGAGAUUUCCAGGAACGCUUUCUCGGGGUUUGUGUGCAUGUAUUUCAAACCAUACAGACCUAAAAAUUAGAAGUCAUUCCAUCUUUAUUCCCGUAGAGCCUUCCAGCAGUUCCUAAACCGCUCCAGUCGGAGCAUGUUAUCAUUCUUGUUUGUUCUGAGUGAAUUCCCUCGGUAUGAUAAUUCUAUCAUCAGUUUGUUCCCCGUUUCUUCUCUAGCCUGAGCCUGGCAAACUAUUCUAGCUAGACAUGGGUGUGGCUCGUAACACCUGAUGACCAAACGGAUCUACGACACCAUCGAAUCUCAAACUUUAACUACCAAAACUAUUGUUUUUCAUUCUAUAGUCCCUUCUAGAAUUUCUAAACGUCCUUUUUUGGGCCGAGAUUUCCAGGAAUGCUUUCUCGGGGUUUGUGUGCAAGUAUUUCAAAUCAUACGGACCUAAAAAUUAGAAGUCAUUCCAUCUUUAUUCCCCUAGAGCCUUCCAGUAGUUCCUAAACCGCUCCAGUCGGAGCACGUUAUCAUUCUUGUUAGUUCAUAGUGAAUUCCCUCGGUAUGAUAAUUCUUUCAUCAGUUUGUUCCCCGUUUCUUCUCUAGCCUGAGCCUGGCACAGUAUUCUAGCUAGACAUGGGUGUGGUCGUAACACCUGAUGACUAAAUGGAUCGACGGCACCAUCGAAUCUCAAACUUUAACUGCCAAAACUAUUGUUUUUCAUCCUGUAAUCCCAUUUAGAAUUACUAAACGUCCUUUUUUGGGCCGAGAUUUAGAGGAACGCUUUGUUGGGGUUUGUGUGCAAGUAUUUCAAACCAUACGGACCUAAAAAUUAGAACUCAUUCCAUAUUUAUUCCCCUUGAGCCUUCCAGCAGUUCCUAAACCGCUCUAGUCGGAGCACGUUAUCAUUCUUGUUAGUUCUAAGAGAAUUCCCUCGGUAUGAUAAUUCUUUUAUCAGUUUGUUCCCCGUUUCUUCUCUAGACUGGGCCCGACACACUAUUCUAGCUAGACAUGGGUGUGGCUCGUAACACCUGAUGACCAAACGGAUCUACGGCACCAUCGAAUCUCAAACUUCAACUGCCAAAACUAUUGUUUUUCAUCCUGUAGUCCCUUUUAGAAUUACUAAACGUCCUUUUUUGGGCCGAGAUUUCCAGGAACGCUUUCUCGGGGUUUGUGUGCAAGUAUUUCAAACCAUACGGACCUAAAAAUUAGAAGUCAUUCCAUCUUUAUUCCCGUAGAGCCAUCCAGCAGUUCCUAAACCGCUCCAGUCGGAGCACGUUAUCAUUCUUGUUAGUUCUGAGUGAAUUCCCUCGGUAUGAUAAUUCUUUCAUCAGUUUGUUCCCCGUUUCUUCUCUAGCCUGAGCCUGACAAACUAUUAUAGCUAGACAUGGGUGUGGCUCGUAACACCUGAUGACCAAACGGAUCUAUGGCACCAUCGAAUCUCAAACUUUAACUGCCAAAACUAUUGUUUUUCAUCCUGUAGUCCCUUUUAGAAUUACUAAACGCCCUUCUUUGGGACGAGAUUUCCAGGAACGCUUUCUCGGGGUUUGUGUGAAAGUAAUUCAAACCAUACGGACCUAAAAAUUAGAAGUCAUUCCAUCUUUAUUCCCGUGGAGCCUUCCAGUAGUUCCUAAACCGCUCCAGUCGGAGCACGUUAUCAUUCUUGUUAGUUCUGAGUGAAUUCCCUCGGUAUGAUAAUUCUUUCAUCAGUUUGUUCCCUGUUUCUUCUCUAGCCUGAGCCUGGCACACUAUUCUAGCUAGACAUGGGUGUGGCUCGUAACACCUGAUGACUAAACUGAUCAAUGACACCAUCGAAUCUCAAACUUUAACUGCCAAAACUAUUGUUUUUCAUCCUGUAGUCCCAUUUAGAAUUACUAAACGUCCUUUUUUGGGCCGAGAUUUCCAGGAACGCUUACUCGGGGUUUGUGUGCAAGUAUUUCAAACCAUACUGACCUAAAAAUUAGAAGUCAAUCCAUCUUUAUUCCCCUAGAGCCUUCCAGCAGUUCCUAAACCGCUCCAGUCGGAGCACGUUAUCAUUCUUGUUAGUUCUGAGUGAAUUCCCUCGGUAUGAUAAUUCUUUCAUCAGUUUGUUCCUUGUUUCUUCUCUAGCCUGAACCUGACACACUAUUCUAGCUAGACAUGGGUGUGGCUCGUAACACCUGAUGACCAAACGGAUCUACGGCACCAUCGAAUCUCAAACUUUAACUGCCAAAACUAUUAUUUUUAAUCCUCUAGUCCCAUUUAGAAUUACUAAACGUCCUUUUUUGGGCCGAGAUUUAGAGGAACGCUUUCAUGCGGUUUGUGUGCAAGUAUUUCAAACCAUACGGACCUAAAAAUUAGAAGUCAUUCCAUCUUUAUUCCCCUAGAGCCUUCCAGCAGUUCCUAAACCGCUCCAGUCGGAGCAUGUUAUCAUUCUUGUUAGUUCUGAGUGAAUUCCCUCGGUAUGAUAAUUCUUUCAUCAGUUUGUGGCCCGUUUCUUCUCUAGCCUGAGCCUGACACACUAUUCUAGCUAGACGUGGGUGUGGCUCGUAACACCUGAUGACCAAACGGAUCUACGGCACCAUCGAAUCUCAAACUUUAAGUGCCAAAACUAUUAUUUUUAAUCCUGUAGUCCCAUUUAGAAUUAC
This 5338-nucleotide long non-coding RNA is filed under the name Triticum aestivum (bread wheat). Its description in RNAcentral is "long non-coding RNA (TAES_LNC028121)". The record is from RNAcentral. Lineage: Eukaryota; Viridiplantae; Streptophyta; Magnoliopsida; Poales; Poaceae.